Molecule: long non-coding RNA, 1198 nt
Organism: Acanthaster planci (crown-of-thorns starfish)
Lineage: Eukaryota; Metazoa; Echinodermata; Asteroidea; Valvatida; Acanthasteridae
Source: RefSeq, a predicted model, not a curated record
CUGACACCUUCGAGCAGAAGGGAAUAGAGAUGGAACAUGUCGGUGACGGCGAGCUGUAGCCUUCUUUCAUUUUUUCUACAGUGCUCUUUGUGACAUGGAUCCCAGAAUCACUGACACCAAAGGAGCAUUGGAACGGUGCCCAUAUCCAGACGUCAGAUCGGCUCACGUGACUGAUGGUGAUGCUGUUCUCUCAUUUCGGCUGUUUGUGGCAAUGAAACGGCAGCGAGUGCAUACUUGAGGGGUGUCUCUGGAUGCAAACAACAUACUCCUCUUGAAAGAGGGGGCUUUUCGUGGUCCCAAGUGGCAGGAGGAAUGCAGUUGUGGCAACAAUCGCCCUUCCUCGAUUUAAUACACUCUCGACAUCAUUUUUCACCCGUUCUGGUCAGUCCAAGUGUUCAACCAUAGAGAAAGGUCCUUGUUCUAUGGUUCAACUAUCUAACUUCGCCUUCGCAAGGUUGAUGGUGUUUCUUUCGAACUCGAUGGACGCAGAAACCUUUAGCUGAAGUUGUGGUUGGCAUAAUCUUGACAAGUGUUGAACCAACAAUGACAUGAAAUCUUCAGGGUUCAAUUUAUCUUUGCCGUCCGAAUUCCUUGGAUCGUCGUCCGCUGGGUUGGAUCGUCGUCCGGCUCCCAGAGUCUUUCCCCCGGGCACUGUGCUGUUCGCUUGACUGGUUAUAGUGGCGCAGACCAGAUACAAAUUAUUCAUUCACUCGUUUAAUUCCCAAAAGAGGUGAAACAUUAGCAAGUACAAAAUAGCUUAGGUGAACAAAUGUUUCAUUCCCUAUGCUUGACAAAAGAAGCACAGUUACAAAUUAUCUCCUUUCCCGAUUUUAAACAAGUCAAGUUCUACGACUUGGGCUAUACUGAAACCAAUGUGUCUGGUAGAACCCUUUUAUCAAGUACAGGUGUCUGAAAAUUGAAAUAACUAAAAGGCAACCUUAAAUUACGAUUAACCCCUGUUAGUGUGCCACAGAUGGAUUGUUUAACGACAUUAGUGACCCCAUCGUACUCCAAAAAUUUGUUAUGAUAUUGAACUAUAACUUACAUCUUCAGACACACGAAAGGAACUUUUACUAUCAAGAUCACGACUCGUGCAAACUGCUGCGAAUAUUUCCGGUUGCCACAUUUGCUUCGCUUUCGCUUGAGGUGUAAAAUAAUAUUAAUAUAGCUGCAAUGAAUAAAAAACCUCCAAAAUGCA